This 440-nucleotide ribosomal RNA is filed under the name uncultured bacterium. Its description in RNAcentral is "partial 16S ribosomal RNA". It matches the Rfam family "Bacterial small subunit ribosomal RNA", at positions 338 to 795 of the family's 1533-position model. The record is from RNAcentral.
CCUACGGGAGGCUGCAGUGGGGAAUAUUGCACAAUGGGCGAAAGUCUGAUCCAGCGACGCCGCGUGAGUGAAGAAGUAAUUCGUUAUGUAAAGCUCUAUUAGCAGGGAAGAAAAUGACGGUACCUGAGUAAGAAGCCCCGGCUAACUACGUGCCAGCAGCCGAGGUACUACGUAGGGGGCAAGAGUUAUCCGGAUUUACUGGGCGUAAAGGGUGCGUAGACGGCAGUGCAAGUCUGGAGUGAAAGGCGGGGGUUCAACCCCCGGACUGCAUUGGAAACUGUACGGUUGGAGUGCAGGAGGGGUAAGUGGAAUUCCUAGUGUAGCGGUGAAAUGCGUAGAUAUUAGGAGGAACACCAGUGGAGAAGGCGGCUUACUGGACUGUAACUGACGUUGAGGCACGAAAGCGUGGGGAGCAAACAGGAUUAGAUACCCUAGUAGUC